GGCGAGAUGGCCGAGCGGUCUAAGGCGCCAGAAUCAGGCAAGCUCCCCCUACGAGCAAUCUGGUCCGAAAGGGCGUGGGUUCGAAUCCCACUCUCGUCA
This is a non-coding RNA of Trametes punicea, 99 nucleotides long. Lineage: Eukaryota; Fungi; Basidiomycota; Agaricomycetes; Polyporales; Polyporaceae. The record is from the annotation of a GenBank genome assembly.